RNAcentral lists this ribosomal RNA (490 nucleotides) under uncultured bacterium. Its description in RNAcentral is "partial 16S ribosomal RNA". It matches the Rfam family "Bacterial small subunit ribosomal RNA", at positions 29 to 507 of the family's 1533-position model. The record is from RNAcentral.
AGUGAACGCUGGCGGUAGGCCUAACACAUGCAAGUCGAACGGCAGCACAGGAGAGCUUGCUCUCUAGGUGGCGAGUGGCGGACGGGUGAGGAAUACAUCGGAAUCUGCCCAGUCGUGGGGGAUAACGUAGGGAAACUUACGCUAAUACCGCAUACGACCUUCGGGUGAAAGAGGGGGAUCGCAAGACCUCUCGCGAUUGGAUGAGCCGAUGUCGGAUUAGCUAGUUAGCGGGGUAAUGGCCCACCAAGGCGACGAUCCGUAGCUGGUCUGAGAGGAUGAUCAGCCACACCGGAACUGAGACACGGUCCAGACUCCUACGGGAGGCAGCAGUGGGGAAUAUUGGACAAUGGGCGCAAGCCUGAUCCAGCCAUACCGCGUGGGUGAAGAAGGCCUUCGGGUUGUAAAGCCCUUUUGUUGGGAAAGAAAUCUUUCAGGCUAAUACCCUGGGAGGAUGACGGUACCCAAAGAAUAAGCACCGGCUAACUUCGUG